GAGCGGUAUUUGUUCUUCGGAACAGAGAGAGCGGCGUACGGGUGCGGAACACGUGUGCAACCUGCCUUUAUCUGGGGGAUAGCCUUUCGAAAGGAAGAUUAAUACCCCAUAAUAUAUUGAAUGGCAUCAUUCGAUAUUGAAAACUCCGGUGGAUAGAGAUGGGCACGCGCAAGAUUAGAUAGUUGGUGAGGUAACGGCUCACCAAGUCUGCGAUCUUUAGGGGGCCUGAGAGGGUGAUCCCCCACACUGGUACUGAGACACGGACCAGACUCCUACGGGAGGCAGCAGUGAGGAAUAUUGGACAAUGGGUNGAGAGCCUGAUCCAGCCAUCCCGCGUGAAGGACGACGGCCCUAUGGGUUGUAAACUUCUUUUGUAUAGGGAUAAACCUACUCUCGUGAGAGUAGCUGAAGGUACUAUACGAAUAAGCACCGGCUAACUCCGUGCCAGCAGCCGCGGUAAUACGGAGGGUGCAAGCGUUAUCCGGAUUUAUUGGGUUUAAAGGGUCCGUAGGCGGAUCUGUAAGUCAGUGGUGAAAUCUCACAGCUUAACUGUGAAACUGCCAUUGAUACUGCAGGUCUUGAGUGUUAUUGAAGUAGCUGGAAUAAGUAGUGUAGCGGUGAAAUGCAUAGAUAUUACUUAGAACACCAAUUGCGAAGGCAGGUUACUAAGCAACAACUGACGCUGAUGGACGAAAGCGUGGGGAGCGAACAGGAUUAGAUACCCUGGUAGUCCACGCCGUAAACGAUGCUAACUCGUUUUUGGGGCUUCGGCUUCAGAGACUAAGCGAAAGUGAUAAGUUAGCCACCUGGGGAGUACGAACGCAAGUUUGAAACUCAAAGGAAUUGACGGGGGCCCGCACAAGCGGUGGAUUAUGUGGUUUAAUUCGAUGAUACGCGAGGAACCUUACCAAGGCUUAAAUGGGAAAUGACAGGUUUAGAAAUAGACUUUUCUUCGGACAUUUUUCAAGGUGCUGCAUGGUUGUCGUCAGCUCGUGCCGUGAGGUGUUAGGUUAAGUCCUGCAACGAGCGCAACCCCUGUCACUAGUUGCCAUCAUUAAGUUNGGGGACUCUAGUGAGACUGCCUACGCAAGUAGAGAGGAAGGUGGGGAUGACGUCAAAUCAUCACGGCCCUUACGCCUUGGGCCACACACGUAAUACAAUGGCCAGUACAGAGGGCAGCUACACAGCGAUGUGAUGCAAAUCUCGAAAGCUGGUCUCAGUUCGGAUUGGAGUCUGCAACUCGACUCUAUGAAGCUGGAAUCGCUAGUAAUCGCGCAUCAGCCAUGGCGCGGUGAAUACGUUCCCGGGCCUUGUACACACCGCCCGUCAAGCCAUGGAAGUCUGGGGUACCUGAAGUCGGUGA
This 1363-nucleotide ribosomal RNA is filed under the name Chryseobacterium tructae. RNAcentral's name for it is "bacterial SSU rRNA". It matches the Rfam family "Bacterial small subunit ribosomal RNA", at positions 64 to 1433 of the family's 1533-position model. The record is from RNAcentral. Lineage: Bacteria; Pseudomonadati; Bacteroidota; Flavobacteriia; Flavobacteriales; Weeksellaceae.